RNAcentral lists this ribosomal RNA (413 nucleotides) under uncultured bacterium. RNAcentral's name for it is "bacterial SSU rRNA". It matches the Rfam family "Bacterial small subunit ribosomal RNA", at positions 350 to 755 of the family's 1533-position model. The record is from RNAcentral.
AGCAGUGGGGAAUUUUGGACAAUGGGGGCAACCCUGAUCCAGCCAUGCCGCGUGCGGGAAGAAGGCCUUCGGGUUGUAAACCGCUUUUGUCGGGGAAGAAACGGCUUGCGCUAAUACCGCGAGCUAAUGACGGUACCCGAAGAAUAAGCACCGGCUAACUACGUGCCAGCAGCCGCGGUAAUACGUAGGGUGCAAGCGUUAAUCGGAAUUACUGGGCGUAAAGCGUGCGCAGGCGGCUUUGCAAGACAGAUGUGAAAUCCCCGGGCUCAACCUGGGAACUGCAUUUGUGACUGCAUGGCUGGAGUGCGGCAGAGGGGGAUGGAAUUCCGCGUGUAGCAGUGAAAUGCGUAGAUAUGCGGAGGAACACCGAUGGCGAAGGCAAUCCCCUGGGCCUGCACUGACGCUCAUGCACG